RNAcentral lists this ribosomal RNA (511 nucleotides) under uncultured bacterium. RNAcentral describes it as "bacterial SSU rRNA". It matches the Rfam family "Bacterial small subunit ribosomal RNA", at positions 15 to 518 of the family's 1533-position model. The record is from RNAcentral.
GAUCCUGGCUUAGGAUGAACGCUAGCGACAGGCUAACACAUGCAAGUCGAGGGGCAGCACGGGAGUAGCAAUACAACUGGUGGCGACCGGCGCACGGGUGAGUAACGCGUAUGCAACCUACCUAUCAGAGGGGAAUAACCCGGCGAAAGUCGGACUAAUACCGCAUAAAACAGGGGCACCGCAUGGUGAUAUUUGUUAAAGAAAUUCGCUGAUAGAUGGGCAUGCGUUCCAUUAGGUAGUUGGUGAGGUAACGGCUCACCAAGCCGACGAUGGAUAGGGGAACUGAGAGGUUGGUCCCCCACACUGGUACUGAGACACGGACCAGACUCCUACGGGAGGCAGCAGUGAGGAAUAUUGGUCAAUGGGCGAGAGCCUGAACCAGCCAAGUCGCGUGAAGGAAGAAGGAUCUAUGGUUCGUAAACUUCUUUUGCAGGGGAAUAAAGUGCAGGACGUGUCCUGUUUUGUAUGUACCCUGAGAAUAAGGAUCGGCUAACUCCGUGCCAGCCGCGGC